UACGUAGGGUGCGAGCGUUGUCCGGAAUUAUUGGGCGUAAAGAGCGCGUAGGCGGUCCGAUAAGUCGGCUGUGAAAGUCAGGGGCUCAACCCUUGAAAGCCGGCCGAUACUGUCGGACUAGAGUCCGGAAGAGGCAAGUGGAAUUCAUGGUGUAGCAGUGAAAUGCGUAGAGAUCAUGAGGAAGACCAGUGGCGAAGGCGGGUCUCUGGACAGUUCCUGACACUGAGACACGAAGGCCAGGGGAGCAAACGGG
Molecule: ribosomal RNA, 253 nt
Filed under: uncultured bacterium
Lineage: Bacteria
Description: partial 16S ribosomal RNA
Rfam family: Bacterial small subunit ribosomal RNA
Source: RNAcentral